Dufourea novaeangliae is the source of this 128-nucleotide long non-coding RNA. RefSeq lists it as uncharacterized. The record is from RefSeq and is a predicted model, not a curated record. The transcript is spliced from 2 exons. Lineage: Eukaryota; Metazoa; Arthropoda; Insecta; Hymenoptera; Halictidae.
CUCAACGAAAAGGAAAAGAAUCCCAAGAAGAAUAUAGGGAAGAACCAUGUCUCGAUUCGUGUUUGUAUUCGUGCUCCUCGCUGUGGUUGUUGCUGCCCUCCCCGACGACGACAAGGACGAGAAAAAGC